GGCCGGUUAGCUCAGUCAGUUGAGUGUGGUGCUAACAAUGCAAAGGUCGCAGGUUCGAUUCCUGUUCGGUCC
RNAcentral lists this transfer RNA (72 nucleotides) under Apaloderma vittatum (bar-tailed trogon). It matches the Rfam family "tRNA". Rfam says of the family: Transfer RNA (tRNA) molecules are approximately 80 nucleotides in length. Their secondary structure includes four short double-helical elements and three loops (D, anti-codon, and T loops). The record is from Rfam by way of RNAcentral. Lineage: Eukaryota; Metazoa; Chordata; Aves; Trogoniformes; Trogonidae.